RNAcentral lists this small RNA (77 nucleotides) under Xanthomonas populi. RNAcentral's name for it is "sX9 sRNA". It matches the Rfam family "Xanthomonas sRNA sX9". Lineage: Bacteria; Pseudomonadati; Pseudomonadota; Gammaproteobacteria; Lysobacterales; Lysobacteraceae. The record is from RNAcentral.
AUCUACCACUCUUACACACCGGCUCCGAGCGCGCCGUCCGCACCCACCUGGCGACUGCUCGCUACCUUUUGUUGGCC